Molecule: ribosomal RNA, 285 nt
Filed under: Triticum aestivum (bread wheat)
Lineage: Eukaryota; Viridiplantae; Streptophyta; Magnoliopsida; Poales; Poaceae
Description: partial small subunit ribosomal RNA
Source: RNAcentral
AUGGCGCGUUCUUCCUCCCUCGCUCUCGCGGUGGCGGUGCUGGCAAUCGUCUGCUGUUUCAUGCCACGCUCAGCGACGGCAAUCCGAGUUGUUCCCGACGGACUCCAUGGGCCACUAAAUUCCCCUCCGUCGCCGCGUGCCAAUUAUUCGCCGCAUGGGGGACCCUACACGGGACGGCCGUGCAAGCCCUAUUAUGGCUGCAGAACGGUUCCUGAACCACCUCCACCGGCGACAUCCCCGCCGACUCCACGCCGCAAGACCAUGCAAGUUGUGGCGAACACAUGA